GAGUCCUUAGCUCAGCCGGUAGAGCAACUGACUUUUAAUCAGUAGGUCGUGGGUUCGAGUCCCACAGGACUCA
RNAcentral lists this transfer RNA (73 nucleotides) under Oceanibaculum indicum. RNAcentral's name for it is "tRNA-Lys". It matches the Rfam family "tRNA". Rfam says of the family: Transfer RNA (tRNA) molecules are approximately 80 nucleotides in length. Their secondary structure includes four short double-helical elements and three loops (D, anti-codon, and T loops). Further hydrogen bonds mediate the characteristic L-shaped molecular structure. tRNAs have two regions of fundamental functional importance: the anti-codon, which is responsible for specific mRNA codon recognition, and the 3' end, to which the tRNAs corresponding amino acid is attached (by aminoacyl-tRNA synthetases). tRNAs cope with the degeneracy of the genetic code in two manners: having more than one tRNA (with a specific anti-codon) for a particular amino acid; and 'wobble' base-pairing, i.e. permitting non-standard base-pairing at the 3rd anti-codon position. Lineage: Bacteria; Pseudomonadati; Pseudomonadota; Alphaproteobacteria; Rhodospirillales; Oceanibaculaceae. RNAcentral also lists the same sequence under 1 other name. The record is from RNAcentral.